RNAcentral lists this long non-coding RNA (2000 nucleotides) under Oryctolagus cuniculus (rabbit). RNAcentral's name for it is "lncRNA (ENSOCUG00000032146.1)". The record is from RNAcentral. Lineage: Eukaryota; Metazoa; Chordata; Mammalia; Lagomorpha; Leporidae.
GGAUCUUCAUUCCUUUGUGUAACACCAUAGAAACCAGAGAAAAUCUUCUUUAUGGCUCUACAGGGAUGAUAUUAUUUCAAGUAUAGUUUUACUCAGCACCUUAGAGACAAACUGCUGAGAAGGAAAGUGCUUUCCAGAAAAAAAUAAAAACCAAAAACAAAAACCUAAAUCUGUCUUUUAUCUGAUUGCUGCAGUCACCUUUGUUAACCAUGCAAGGUAGAUCUUCCAUGCAUUUAAAAAAAAAUAGAAAAAUUAUGUUCUUGCAUUGACUUUGCUUUACUUUUGAACCUUUAAAUUACAAAUUCCUUAAUGUCUGCCAUGGUUUCCUUCAUAUGUACCAGUAAAUCCUAUUGGUAGUCUGCAUGCAUCCUUUAUGUGAAUUUCUUAUACAUGAAUACGACUUUGAUUUAUAUUUAGGACUUACUGACCAUGUGCUCCACUUAAACAGGAGUGUGUGUUGUAAUCAAUCAUGGACCACUCUAAAAACAUUUUAUAAAAGCACUACAAGGCCCUAGCAUAGCAGAAACUAAGGGAAAACACCUCCCUACUGCAAAUUUUCAGUUUAUACUUUCUAGCAUGGGUAAAUGAUAUUUUAAAGGUGUUAUUUAAAAAUGUUUAUUUUAACUUGUAAGUUCAUUUAUCUCCUUUACUCCAUGUGGGUGGGGUUUCAAUACAAACAAUCACACAUGACAGAAUGAAUUCCUUUACACUGGAGAGAUUUGUUGAAUACUUUGCAUGUCUACAGGGAAUACCAGUAACUGAUGAAGACUGCCAGCAACACAGCAACAGCCUGUUCAAACUGCAAAUAGAAGUUUUGAUGGUUUUGCAUCAACAGGAAACAAGUCAUGAGCUGAGAGAGCCAAGUAUGAAGCCCAGCCGCUCUGAAGUGGGAUUCGGGCAUCUGAACUACUAGGCUAAGUUCUGGUACCCAUCUCACUAUUUUUACUGUCCACCUGAUGGGACAACGCCCUUAUGUGCCUAUAUUCUUCCCACUAUCCUUCCUGUCCAUCUGAUAUAACAACACCCUUAUGUGCCUGUACCCAUCCCACUAUGCUUCCUGUCCACCUGAUAUGACAACGUCCUUAUGUGCCUGUACCUGUCCCACUGUGCUUCCUGUCCACCUGAUGUGACAGUGCCCUAUGUGCCUGUACCCAUCCCACUAUGCUUCCUGUCCACCUUAUAUGACAACGUCCUAUGUGCCUGUACCUGUCCCACUGUGCUUCCUGUCCACCUGAUGUGACAACACCCUGAUGUGCCUAUAUUCUUCCCACUAUCCUUCCUGUCCAUCUGAUACAACACCACCCUUAUGUGCCUGUACCCAUCCCACUAUCCUUCCUGUCCAUCUGAUGUGACAAUGCCCUAUGUGCCUGUACCUGUCCCACUAUGCUUCCUGUCCACCUGAUGUGACAACGUCCUAUGUGCCUGUACCUGUCCCACUGUGCUUCCUGUCCACCUGAUAUGACAACGCCCUAUGUGCCUGUACCCGUCCCACUAUCCUUCCUGUCCAUCUGAUGUGACAAUGCUCUUAUGUGCCUGUACCUGUCUCACUAUCCUUCCUGUCCAUCUGAUGGACAAUGCCCUUUGAGAUGAUUUCAGUGUGUCCCCCAGAUCUCCUAUGCAUGCUUAAUCCCAUGUGUGUAUUUCUAUGUCAGUUUGAUUAUGUUCUUCCACUUAUUUACCUGUUAUGAUUAGAUUCAACUGUUUCUAGAUGACCAUCAAACCCAUAUAUGAAUCUCUUAAAUUCACUAACUGUAUUUUUCAGUUGCACCUUCAAAUUGGUUUGGUAUCCAUUCCCUAGCCAAGAUUAUAAUUCUGCCUUUAUAUCUCUGUACUGAUCAAUUUUAAAAUCUGUAUUUGAAAGAUUAUUUGGACUCUUUCUGAAUAUAUUUCUAUCUUUUAUUAUGUUUACAUGGUAAUCUUAUAUCCUAUAUAUGAUUUUUGUUUUUACUAAAUGUAAAAUUUAUAAUAAAUGGAGGCAUCAAAUAAAGAUUUAGUUUUUA